AUAAAUAUAAUUUAUGUUUCCAACCAUAAAUGUACAUGAAGAGAAUGUAAAAAAAUGAUUAAAAAAAGGAAGCAUUGCAGUAAUAACAACCUAAGAUCAUAAAUGAACCAUUACAUGUAGGGAAAAAAAAAGUACAUAUUAAAUCUCAACUUCACUUUGAUUAGUAUUUUUUGGAGUGCACAAACUUUCAGUCAUAAAAUCACAUUUCACAUCUCCGUAGUAUUAGAUUCUCCAGCAACUUAUCCUCAGGAAGGAGCAACUUAUCCUCAGGAAUUAAGGUGCAUUUAAGAGAGGGACUAAUGAGUAUAUUCUGAAAGUAUAUACAUAUACAUUGCAUAGUACCAGAAGGGGAAUUCGAGGAGCGGUGGUUUAUUAUCGUUGGAUUUUGCCGCAAAUGAGAGCGGGGAUAACUGAGGAGCCUCGAUGUUGACUUUCAUAUUCCUAAGUGAAAUUAAAAGAAAAAUUACACAUAAAGAAGAAAAAAAGCAAUUCUUUAAAUAAUGCAAUGAAGUUCCUUAUGUUAUACGCGUAAGAACGAAACUUUGAUUUUUUUUAUAGCCGCAUAUAAAAAAAGGUUUUGUUACCUAGUAACCACACUGUGUAAGGCUCAACGCUAAUCAGUCAAAUGCAUAUCUUCAACCUUGAUAUGUGUUCGAAUUUGGGCUGUUUUUACAAGUUAAACUUUCGGAGAAAUAUUAAUGAGAGAAAGGAAAAGG
RNAcentral lists this long non-coding RNA (716 nucleotides) under Erythranthe guttata (spotted monkey flower). Its description in RNAcentral is "long non-coding RNA (EGUT_LNC002864)". The record is from RNAcentral. Lineage: Eukaryota; Viridiplantae; Streptophyta; Magnoliopsida; Lamiales; Phrymaceae.